GUUCCCGCUGCGGUCCGACCCCUCGCGGCGCCCAGGCUUCUGUCGGGUCCGCUCCGGCCUGGCCUUUGGGGUUGUCAUAGCGGCGGCUCCUCCGGCAGGGCGCGGCGCCAGUGACUGCGGCCAGGAGGCCGUGACAGAAUUGGAACACCACUUGCUGUAACUCAAAGUCAUGGAGACAACUACUCACUGUAUGCUGGUUAGAAAGGGUGCUGUGGCAUUUGCAAGAAAGCAGGACUUCACAAUAGAAGAUCAUAAAAACCUGAUGACUAAGCAGAGUGCUGAAGCUUAUCAGUUACACUAAUUCUGGUUGGAUGAUGCUGGAAGGAGCUUAACUACACAAAACCUUUCUGUGGAAAUUGCAAUGUUCUUUUGUAGAUCCAGCCCUAUGAUUCUAGAGAUAGAGACUUUGACAUCUAAAGAAAUAUAUAUUUUUAUGUGGAGGGGGGAACAUCUUUAACAUUUCUUUGUGGGGUGGUGUAACAGGGUGCUGGACACGAACUGCUGAGUCCAGCCCAGUCCUCUGUCAGGCCAGCUCCCAUUAAGGGAGAGAAAUUGGAGCUGGCUAGGGAAACUUGUGCCUGAUUGGCAAAGGGGAAAUAGCUGCCAGGUGGUUAACCUGGGGCUGCAUAAAAGCCUCAAAGGAAGGAAAGGGGGAAGCCAGAGAGUGGAAGCUUGUCUUUCAUAGCUGUAGAGGCUGGGAAGUCCUUCAGAUGGAAACCCCCCAUGUUGUAUAUGGUGAGACGGUGGUGGGAUUUUAUGCUGUAAAUAAACUGCACCAGUGAUUGCAGAGCCAGAAGGUCUCUUAGUGGUUUUUGGAGUAGAGGCAGGAGCAAAGGGGGUCCUGCUAUGCCCUGUUACAGGUGGGGAAAACUUUCUUUUCUAGCCCUCAGGCACUCUGGAGUGGACUCUCCACUGCCUUGCACACUGUGUAGUUAUUUAGACCUAUGCAAAGUGGGUGGGAAAUGCUACGAAAUUAGAUUUCUCCAUUCACUUUUGCCAUUGGUAGCAUUUUACACUCUCCUUUUACAGGGGUAAACUACAUGAGUUCUCAGGAGUGGAGAAUGAAGCAUCCUAAGGUCUGAUUUGAAGGGGGAUUGAGCACCCAUAACGCCAGCUGAAGUCAGUGGGACAUCUGGGUAUUCAUAACCUCUGAAAAUGAGGUCCUAGAUGUCUAAAGUUUGGCAAUGAAAAAUUGAGGUACCCAAAAUAAGAUACCACUUUUGAAAAUGUAGUCCUAAGUGACUACAGUCAUAGGGGAAGUCUGCAGCAGAGCCAGGAAUAGAAUCUGAAUCAUCUGACUCCCAGUCCUGUGGCUUAUCCAUAAGACCAACCUUCAUCUCCAGAUAACAGCAGCAGAUUCUUUCAGAUAUGAAUGGAGGUUUCAAAUUCAUCCACACCAUAUAAAGAACAACACUUUAACAUGAUUCACUGAUAAUUGAGUCCUCGUAUCAGAACUACAUUCUCUCCUCAAAUUAAAAAAAGGGGUUUUGGUUUUUGAAAUCAAUUUACACUUUGCUACUGUGAAGUCCACUGAGAGGAGUAAACAUUGCAUUUAACAUCUCCAUUCCUUCUGCUACCCUGCUUCACUUUUCAGCAUGUAAGAAUGACUUUAAAAUUAGUUUUUUUGUAAACACUUUACCUCACUAAAAAUAUAACUGAAAUACUCUGAUUCAGGAGAAAACACAUUGUUAUAAGAUCUCUGAUUUUGAGAAUAUCCCUUAUUUUCUUCAAAAAAAAAUUUGCUGGAACAUUUAGAAAAAAUUUCAGAGGACACAGUACCUUAAAUAGUAAUUUUAAUGAUUUGAUUAUUUUGUAUGAAAAAUGUGGUAAGUACUGGAGUUAGAGGUCAUUAAGAAUCGAACUGGCUUGCAUACAUACAUAAAUGGAUGUGAUGUUAGAGGAUAAAAAUUUCUAUCAGCAGCAGCAAGGAUAUUGUGGUGAAGUGAUAAUUGUAUGCUGACUAGCAUCCCAAAACACUUCACAGAGAGAAGUGAUACAAGAGCUGGCAUAAAUUUUAGUGAAGACAAUCAAGGAAAAAUUCUGCCAUUGUAAGUGCAGAGGGCUCCUGACAGUAGAAUUGGUAUGGUUCUACUGGUUGAGGACAUGCUGCAUGUACCACAUGGAGUCCACACCAUGCACAGAGAAGGGUUGGGUAUGGUGGAACAAUUGGAAGGUUUUAAGGCUGAGAUAUGUUAUGUAUUUGUGUACAUGGGAGAAGACAGACAUGUGCAUAUUGGAGUCUGGAAAGUGGGAGUGACAAGAAUCAGAACAAGAGAAGAUGAAGAUAUGGACAGGGAUUUCAGAACAGGUUGAUUCAAGAAAGUAGAGCUGAUAGGCUGUGUGGAGGAGUUUGGGAAGGAUAGAAUCCUGUCUCCUCCCUCAACCUGGGAGCAGGUUGCAGAAGGGUUAUAAGCACCUACACAUGAGUUUUUGCUGGUGGAUCCCUCUAUAUGUGGGGUCUGCCUCCUUUUUGAGGGGCUACACGGCAGGCUGUCCUGCAGGUCCCUAAUUUCUUUGCACAGUAGAACUCUUCUGGUUCUGUUGUCUUUGGGAGGCUUCAUGUGACCUUUCCAAGCCUGGGCAGGCUGUGCCCCUUGUAACUAAAAUGAGAGCUGUUAUAUAAUGAAACAUGAAAUCUUAUCAAUCAUAGUUCAUCUUUUGUUGACGAUUAAACUAUCUUUUCCAGAAAACUACAGUAGAAUUUAUUUAUUUAUUUUGUUCAGACUGCCAAGGCACAACAGAAAUAAUGCAUUCACUCUUCAAGAGAGAAUUAGCGUAUGCUGCUCUUGGAGUUCCCCCUACUGACCUUUGGAUGAUACUAUGACUCAGUAAAGCCGAAAGCAUACCAAAGUUGAGAGUUAUAAGAGGGAAAUGGUGGCCCAGAAAAAAGGGAUGUGUCACUUACUUGAAGUAACGAGAGCCUCUUGGCAUAUGUUCUUAUCUUGGAAAGAGUGCUAAACAAUUCCAGGAACCUCACAUUACAAGCUGAUAUAGAUAUGUGUUUGUAUUUCCAAGGAAAUAUAAGACGACAAAAAUUUUACAGGGAAUCUUGUUUAAGGAGAAUUACUGUCUAUAGACACACGUUAGACCUUUCAUAGGCUGCAUAUUGUAUGCCACAAAUUAAACACCAGCAUUUUGAUGACACUUGAAGUGCUUAAAAACAGAUUCCUGAACAUGUUGUGCUUGCUAUUGACAUGGAAUAUAGGAACCACUUAUUUUAAGAGAUUGUUGGUUUGAGUUUGGAGUAACAUACGCCAAAAAUAAAAUGAAUUGGUACCAGUUGUAGUAGUUUCAAACAGAGCUUACAUGUGUUUAAACAUAAGUAUUACCUAGAAGGCAAAAUGAGCAUGGAAGUUAUGCGUAUAUCUUGAAGGGAAAGCAUUCUUUCCACCCACCCCUUUUCUAUCCGCUAACAGUUAUGCCAGGUAUAAAGUAACAAUUUUUUUAUUUAAAAAUUAUAAAUGUCUAUAUUAGUAUGAAAAUUCAGACACUUUGCAUGUUUGAAUUUGAUUUGAAUUAAUGUGUAAUGUCUUUGCCAGCUAGCAGAUGUAUCCCUCUAAACACACUUUUCUCUAAUAUUUAGAAUAUUCACUUUUUAGGUGGUUAAUGAUUCACUUAUUCAUAAAUGUUUUAAAUACAAAAUUCUGUUAAGCAGAAAUUCCAGCAAUUACUUUCUGCCCAUUAGGGUAACAACUGAUUAAUAAUGUCUGUUCUAGCAGGCCUUUCUCAGGCAAAUCUCCUCUUGAAAUUGGGAACCAUUAGGUAUUACCAUAUUGAAUCAGACUCCUCAUCCACCUAGUCCAGUGGGAGUUUUGUUUAAGCAUUUGUCUACAUGCAGUUUUUACACUGGAUUUAAUUAUAUUAAAACUCAAUGUAAUUAAAUUGGUGCAGUCCUCUAGGGUGAACACAGUUAUACCAGCAUAGCUUAUUUCUGACCAGUACUGUAAAAACAAAUACACACAGUGUGUGUGUAGGCCAACCCUAAGUAAGGACUGUAGGAUUUUGUCCAAAAGUUUUAACCAAGACCGAAUUGUCUCUUGAAUCUUGCCUAGCUCUAGUAAAUAUUGUCAUAAAAAUAAAGGGAAGGGUUACCACCUUUCUGUAUACAGUGCUAUAAAAUCCCUCCUGAUCAGAGGU
Chelonia mydas (Green sea turtle) is the source of this 4137-nucleotide long non-coding RNA. RefSeq lists it as uncharacterized. The record is from RefSeq and is a predicted model, not a curated record. Lineage: Eukaryota; Metazoa; Chordata; Testudines; Cheloniidae. The transcript is spliced from 3 exons.